Molecule: ribosomal RNA, 324 nt
Filed under: uncultured eukaryote
Lineage: Eukaryota
Description: partial 18S ribosomal RNA
Rfam family: Eukaryotic small subunit ribosomal RNA
Source: RNAcentral
CCCUUAGAUGUUCUGGGCCGCACGCGCGCUACACUGAUGCAUUCAACGAGUUUCUUCCUGGUCCGAGAGGAAUGGGUAACCUUUUGAAAGUGCAUCGUGAUAGGGAUAGACUAUUGCAAUUAUUGGUCUUCAACGAGGAAUUCCUAGUAGACGUAGUUCAUCAGACUGCAUCGAUUACGUCCCUGCCCUUUGUACACACCGCCCGUCGCUCCUACCGAUUGAAUGCUCAGGUGAGCCAUUCGGACCUUCUUCAUGCCGGUUUCCGGUUUUGAUGAGGGAAAGUCUUGCGAACCUUAUCAUUUAGAGGAAGGAGAAGUCGUAACA